RNAcentral lists this ribosomal RNA (253 nucleotides) under uncultured bacterium. Its description in RNAcentral is "partial 16S ribosomal RNA". It matches the Rfam family "Bacterial small subunit ribosomal RNA", at positions 524 to 776 of the family's 1533-position model. The record is from RNAcentral.
UACAGAGGUCUCAAGCGUUGUUCGGAAUCACUGGGCGUAAAGGGUGCGUAGGCCGCACGGUAAGUCAGAGGUGAAAUCCCGGAGCUCAACUUCGGAAUUGCCUCCGAUACUGCCGUGCUUGAGGACUGGAGAGGAGAUUGGAAUUCACAGUGGAGCAGUGAAAUGCGUAGAUAUCGGGAGGAACAUCAGUGGCGAAGGCGACUGCCUGGCCCAACACUGACGCUGAGGUGCGAAAGCGUGGGUAGCAAACAGG